This 301-nucleotide ribosomal RNA is filed under the name uncultured bacterium. RNAcentral's name for it is "partial 16S ribosomal RNA". It matches the Rfam family "Bacterial small subunit ribosomal RNA", at positions 509 to 809 of the family's 1533-position model. The record is from RNAcentral.
CAGUAGCCGCGGGAAUACGGAGGGUGCAAGCGUUAAUCGGAAUUACUGGGCGUAAAGCGCACGCAGGCGGUCUGACAAGUCAGAUGUGAAAUCCCCGGGCUUAACCUGGGAACUGCAUUUGAAACUGUCAGGCUGGAGUCUUGUAGAGGGGGGUGGAAUUCCAGGUGUAGCGGUGAAAUGCGUAUAGAUCUGGAGGAAUACCGGUGGCGAAGGCGGCCCCCUGGACAAAGACUGACGCUCAGGUGCGAAAGCGUGGGGAGCAAACAGGAUUAGAUACCCCUGUAGUCCCUGUCUCUUAUAU